GAAAAGAAACUAACAAGGAUUCCCCUAGUAACUGCGAGUGAAGCGGGAAAAGCUCAAAUUUAAAAUCUGGCGGUCUUUGGCCGUCCGAGUUGUAGUCUGGAGAAGUGCUUUCCGCGCUGGACCGUGUAUAAGUCUCUUGGAACAGAGCGUCAUAGAGGGUGAGAAUCCCGUCUUUGACACGGACUACCAGUGCUUUGUGAUGCGCUCUCAAAGAGUCGAGUUGUUUGGGAAUGCAGCUCAAAAUGGGUGGUGAAUUCCAUCUAAAGCUAAAUAUUGGCGAGAGACCGAUAGCGAACAAGUACCGUGAGGGAAAGAUGAAAAGCACUUUGGAAAGAGAGUUAAACAGUACGUGAAAUUGCUGAAAGGGAAACGCUUGAAGUCAGUCGCGUUGUCUGGGACUCAGCCUUGCUUUUGCUUGGUGCACUUUCCGGAUGACGGGCCAGCAUCGAUUUUGACCGUCGGAAAAGGGCUAGGGUAAUGUGGCACCUCCGGGUGUGUUAUAGACUUUAGUCGCAUACGGCGGUCGGGAUCGAGGAACGCAGCGCGCCGUAAGGCAGGGGUUCGCCCACUUUCGCGCUUAGGAUGCUGGCGUAAUGGCUUUAAACGACCCGUCUUGAAACACGGACCAAGGAGUCUAACAUACCUGCGAGUGUUUGGGUGGAAAACCCGAGCGCGUAAUGAAAGUGAAAGUUGAGACCUCUGUCGUGGAGGGCAUCGACGCCCGGACCUGACGUUCUCUGACGGAUCCGCGGUAGAGCAUGUAUGUUGGGACCCGAAAGAUGGUGAACUAUGCCUGAAUAGGGUGAAGCCAGAGGAAACUCUGGUGGAGGCUCGUAGCGAUUCUGACGUGCAAAUCGAUCGUCAAAUUUGGGUAUAGGGGCGAAAGACUAAU
Molecule: ribosomal RNA, 892 nt
Filed under: Sanguinoderma rugosum
Lineage: Eukaryota; Fungi; Basidiomycota; Agaricomycetes; Polyporales; Polyporaceae
Description: partial 28S ribosomal RNA
Rfam family: Eukaryotic large subunit ribosomal RNA
Source: RNAcentral